AAAUAAGAGAAUUAACUCACCCGUAUUUUGCCCUUAUGGUUUUGUUGCUUCAUAGAAGAAAAGCCUUGUGGCUCUACAAAGAUGCUGGUUCCUUUGGCAGAGGGAGUAGCAAGCAUGUUGCUCAGCCAUUCAACACUCUUCAGGUGUUCUAAAAACCCUCUUUGUGGUAGAAGGGCAUGGCACUCCAAAGGCAUCACCCACAGUGGGGUACAGCAGUGGUGCAGAAGAGCCAUCCCUCCUGAGGAGGCCCAGAGAGACUCUUUGUCUCUACUGUCCCCUUUCCUCCAUCUCCAGGCCAUAGCCACAGCAUCUGCCUUCUUCAGAUGCUGGUCUCUGCUGCCCAUGUUUGUCCAUGAAAAGACAGAGAUCAUCAUCUGCUGCUACCUGAAACCCAAUGGUAAUGAGAUGGUGACAAACUCAGAAGCUGCUAAGCAUGUGAGCUUUCUCAUAAUGCAAGAUGGGAAGAAAUCUGAAAUGGAAAAGUUUCUGAGGACAGGUCAAAAAGUGACACAAAAAUAUGCAAAGAGAUGGGAGUAA
Molecule: long non-coding RNA, 537 nt
Filed under: Ficedula albicollis (Collared flycatcher)
Lineage: Eukaryota; Metazoa; Chordata; Aves; Passeriformes; Muscicapidae
Description: lncRNA (ENSFALG00000028397.1)
Source: RNAcentral